This 451-nucleotide ribosomal RNA is filed under the name uncultured bacterium. RNAcentral describes it as "partial 16S ribosomal RNA". It matches the Rfam family "Bacterial small subunit ribosomal RNA", at positions 354 to 796 of the family's 1533-position model. The record is from RNAcentral.
GUGAGGAAUAUUGGACAAUGGGGGGAACCCUGAUCCAGCCAUGCCGCGUGUGUGAAGAAGGCCUUUUGGUUGUAAAGCACUUUAAGCGAGGAGGAGGCUACCGAGAUUAAUACUCUUGGAUAGUGGACGUUACUCGCAGAAUAAGCACCGGCUAACUCUGUGCCAGCAGCCGCGGUAAUACAGAGGGUGCAAGCGUUAAUCGGAUUUACUGGGCGUAAAGCGCGCGUAGGUGGCCAAUUAAGUCAAAUGUGAAAUCCCCGAGCUUAACUUGGGAAUUGCAUUCGAUACUGGUUGGCUAGAGUAUGGGAGAGGAUGGUAGAAUUCCAGGUGUAGCGGUGAAAUGCGUAGAGAUCUGGAGGAAUACCGAUGGCGAAGGCAGCCAUCUGGCCUAAUACUGACACUGAGGUGCGAAAGCAUGGGGAGCAAACAGGAUUAGAUACCCUUGUAGUCC